Molecule: ribosomal RNA, 429 nt
Filed under: bacterium
Lineage: Bacteria
Description: partial 16S ribosomal RNA
Rfam family: Bacterial small subunit ribosomal RNA
Source: RNAcentral
UAGGGAAUCUUCGGCAAUGGGGGCAACCCGGACCGAGCAACGCCGCGUGAGUGAAGAAGGUUUUCGGAUCGUAAAGCUCUGUUGUAAGAGAAGAACGUGUGUGAGAGUGGAAAGUUCACACAGUGACGGUAACUUACCAGAAAGGGACGGCUAACUACGUGCCAGCAGCCGCGGUAAUACGUAGGUCCCGAGCGUUGUCCGGAUUUAUUGGGCGUAAAGCGAGCGCAGGCGGUUUGAUAAGUCUGAAGUUAAAGGCAGUGGCUUAACCAUUGUUCGCUUUGGAAACUGUUAAACUUGAGUGCAGAAGGGGAGAGUGGAAUUCCAUGUGUAGCGGUGAAAUGCGUAGAUAUAUGGAGGAACACCGGUGGCGAAAGCGGCUCUCUGGUCUGUAACUGACGCUGAGGCUCGAAAGCGUGGGGAGCAAACAGG